Hordeum vulgare subsp. vulgare (domesticated barley) is the source of this 135-nucleotide non-coding RNA. NCBI's taxonomy places the organism in Eukaryota, Viridiplantae, Streptophyta, Magnoliopsida, Poales, Poaceae. The record is from Rfam.
AUAAUACUCCCUCAGUCCCAAAAUUCUUGUAUUAAGUUUGUUUAGAAAUGAAGGUAACUAAAUACUAAAAUAUGACUAGAUACAUUUAUAUUUAGACAAAUCUAAGAUAAGAAUUUUGAAACGAGGGAGUAUAAC